This 820-nucleotide ribosomal RNA is filed under the name Clostridioides difficile. RNAcentral's name for it is "partial 23S ribosomal RNA". It matches the Rfam family "Bacterial large subunit ribosomal RNA", at positions 516 to 1345 of the family's 2925-position model. Lineage: Bacteria; Bacillati; Bacillota; Clostridia; Peptostreptococcales; Peptostreptococcaceae. The record is from RNAcentral.
GAAAAGAACCCCGGGAGGGGAGUGAAAUAGAACCUGAAACCCUGCACUUACAAGCUGUGGAAGCACAUUUCUUGUGUGACCGCGUACUUUUUGUAGAACGGGCCAACGAGUUACGUUAAGUAGCAAGGUUAAGCACUUAAGGUGCGGAGCCGUAGCGAAAGCGAGUUUUAACUGAGCGUUCAGUUACUUGACGUAGACCCGAAACCGGGCGACCUACCCAUGAGCAGGAUGAAGCGAAAGUAAAAUUUCGUGGAGGUCCGAACCCACGAGCGUUGAAAAGCUCGGGGAUGACUUGUGGGUAGCGGUGAAAUUCCAAUCGAGCCCGGAGAUAGCUGGUUCUCCCCGAAAUAGCUUUAGGGCUAGCCUCAAGGUGAGAGAUACGGAGGUAGAGCACUGAAUGUCCUAGGGGGUAUUGCACCUACCGAAGACUAUCAAACUCCGAAUGCCGUCAUCUUAUACUUGGGAGUCAGACUGUGGGUGAUAAGAUUCAUAGUCGAAAGGGCAACAGCCCAGAUCGUCAGCUAAGGUCCCUAAAUGUAAGUUAAGUGGUAAAGGAUGUGGGAUUGCACAGACAACCAGGAUGUUGGCUUAGAAGCAGCCACUCAUUCAAAGAGUGCGUAAUAGCUCACUGGUCGAGUGAUCCUGCGCCGAAGAUUUCCGGGGCUAAAACUUACUACCGAAGCUACGGCAUCAGUAAUGAUGGGUAGGGGAGCUUCCCAUACGGGUUGAAGCAUGACCGUAAGGACAUGUGGACAGUAUGGGAGUGAGAAUGUUGGCAUGAGUAGCGAGAUGUGGGUGAGAAUCCCACAGGCCGUAAACC